This 508-nucleotide ribosomal RNA is filed under the name uncultured bacterium. RNAcentral's name for it is "partial 16S ribosomal RNA". It matches the Rfam family "Bacterial small subunit ribosomal RNA", at positions 30 to 523 of the family's 1533-position model. The record is from RNAcentral.
AUUGAACGCUGGCGGCAUGCCUUACACAUGCAAGUCGAACGGCAGCGGGGGAGAAGCUUGCUUUUCCUGCCGGCGAGUGGCGAACGGGUGAGUAAUACAUCGGAACGUGCCCUGUAGUGGGGGAUAACUAGUCGAAAGAUUAGCUAAUACCGCAUACGACCUGAGGGUGAAAGUGGGGGACCGCAAGGCCUCAUGCUAUAGGAGCGGCCGAUGGCUGAUUAGCUAGUUGGUGGGGUAAAGGCCUACCAAGGCGACGAUCAGUAGCUGGUCUGAGAGGACGAUCAGCCACACUGGGACUGAGACACGGCCCAGACUCCUACGGGAGGCAGCAGUGGGGAAUUUUGGACAAUGGGCGAAAGCCUGAUCCAGCAAUGCCGCGUGUGUGAAGAAGGCCUUCGGGUUGUAAAGCACUUUUGUCCGGAAAGAAAUGGCUCCGGUUAAUACCUGGGGUCGAUGACGGUACCGGAAGAAUAAGGACCGGCUAACUACGUGCCAGCAGCCGCAGUAA